Molecule: ribosomal RNA, 774 nt
Filed under: uncultured Neocallimastigales
Lineage: Eukaryota; Fungi; Neocallimastigomycota; Neocallimastigomycetes; Neocallimastigales
Description: partial large subunit ribosomal RNA
Rfam family: Eukaryotic large subunit ribosomal RNA
Source: RNAcentral
GCAUCUGUGCAUGCAGCAUAUCAAUAAGCGGAGGAAAAGAAACUAACAAGGAUUCCCUUAGUAACGGCGAGUGAAGCGGGAAGAGCUCAAAUUUGAAAUCUUCAAGGUUUUACCUUGACGAAUUGUAGUUUAAAGAAGUGUUUUCUGUUGAAGUUUUGGUAAAAGUUCUUUGGAAUAGGACAUCAUAGAGGGUGAGAAUCCCGUAUUUGACCAUUAUUUUCAGCUGUGUGAUACACUUUCAAAGAGUCGGAUUGUUUGGGAAUGCAGUCCGAAAUGGGUGGUAAAUUUCAUCUAAAGCUAAAUAUUGGCGAGAGACCGAUAGCGAACAAGUACCGUGAGGGAAAGAUGAAAAGAACUUUGAAAAGAGAGUUAAACAGUACGUGAAAUUGUCAAAAGGGAAGCGUUUGACACCAGUGUUGUUUUCUCGAAAAUCAAUUAAAAAGAGUUAGAUUUUGUUGUGUAUUGACCUUAACAGCUUGCAUUUCAAUUUUCUUGCUUUUUUUAAUGCACUUUUCGUUUAACAAGUCAACAUCAGUUUCUUUUGUUGUAAAAAGGUCAUUGGAAGGUGGCUUUCUUUUCGGAGAAAGUGUUUAUAGUCCUUUGACUCCUGCAAUCGGAGAGACUGAGGUCUGCAGCGUAGAUCCUUCGGGGUUAGAUACAUUUGUGCUAAGUUAUAGCUUUUUAUAGACAACUUGUUGACUAUGAUUAGUCUUGUAGCUUACUCGCUUAUGCUAUUUUACCUACGCUUAGGAUGUUGACACACGCGCGUGCUCG